Molecule: long non-coding RNA, 1143 nt
Organism: Artibeus jamaicensis (Jamaican fruit-eating bat)
Lineage: Eukaryota; Metazoa; Chordata; Mammalia; Chiroptera; Phyllostomidae
Exons: 3
Source: RefSeq, a predicted model, not a curated record
GCUGACACCAGGGCUCGGGCGCUGGGGUCCCUCGCAUGGGAGGCUGCAAGAGGAAGGGUGUUGGCGACGGGGAAACUCCGGGAAGGGUGCAGAGCGGCAGGCCGGGCCAGGAUUGGGGUGGGAGGGACAGUUCCAGCCAAUGGGUGACCCUCUCCAUGUGGCCACACCCUGGGCCGAAGGCAGGCAGCAGUCUGUGGCUCACAGCCCUCUGGUUUGCCCAAACCCACUUACAGCCAGUACCUGGUGCCUUCCCCAGUUCUGCUCAUGAAAACAUGGAGAUUCUCACGUUGGCUAACAAGUAAAAUUAAACUACAUGCCGUCUACAAGAGACCUGCCUUCAACACGGGUGACAGAAAGGUCCUGGCACUGGAUCUCUGGGGUCGCUGCGCAGCAUGGAGGACGCGUCGGGGCAGUUAGAAAGUCGUGAGCAGGCCUCCACUGUGUUUCAGCUCCAGGCCCAGAAAAGCAGCAAAACCAGACAAGUCACUCCACAGCUGACUUGCGGCUCAGCUGUGAUGACCAAGGACCCCUGGUGCCAACCAGUCAGUGGAGACCGGACCCUGGAAGGACACACCUGGACAGCUGAUGACCAGUCUGUUGAGACCCUCCCCUGGGGUCACCCCUAAAAUCCACACCCUCAGGCCAGAGGGCCCAGAGUGGCCUCCCUCCCUACAGCGGUCAGGAGCCUCCCCCUCCCCACCCCACUAGCCAGGCGCCUUCGCCCUUCUCGCUCCCCAGCUCCCAGGGCCCUUCCUUGGCCUCUGUGACUUGUUGUCUGAGCCUGUUUCUUCUCCUCUGUGACUUUUAAAAUAAGCUUUCUCUUGUAGAUCGAGUCUUGGCUCUGAAUCCUCUCUUAGCCAGGGCUCCAGUGCCGAGGCUGCCCAACCGAGGUCGGACUUGACCCCCACCCCUGGUCUGACUCCUGGUGCCAUUCUCGCCUCACCAACAGAUGCACUAAAAACCGCUAAAAUGUUUACUGUAAGGUGGUAAAUUUUACGUGUAUUACAUCUCAACUGAAGAUAAAAACAAGAUAGCACAGGAGAGGGAAGUUAGUGGAGCCCACUGGUCACGGGAAGCUGAGGGCCAGCCCUGAGCAUGUGCACUGGAGCCCGGGAGAUGCAGACCUGGCAGAUGCCGCUGAAG